RNAcentral lists this non-coding RNA (126 nucleotides) under Coniochaeta ligniaria NRRL 30616. The record is from Rfam by way of RNAcentral. Lineage: Eukaryota; Fungi; Ascomycota; Sordariomycetes; Coniochaetales; Coniochaetaceae.
AAGUUUUGCGCCAGUGCCUGGGUGUGAUACUCGCACGCGAAAAAAUGCGAAUGAAGGCGAGAGCUAUGGCGCAUCAUCGACCGAUCCUGAUGUAUUCGGAUGGAUUUGAGUAAGAGCGUAAAGCCU